CCUACCAUGGUUGUAACGGGUA
This 22-nucleotide unclassified non-coding RNA is filed under the name Dictyostelium discoideum. Lineage: Eukaryota; Evosea; Eumycetozoa; Dictyosteliales; Dictyosteliaceae. The record is from RNAcentral.